Hipposideros armiger (great roundleaf bat) is the source of this 11805-nucleotide long non-coding RNA. RefSeq lists it as uncharacterized. The record is from RefSeq and is a predicted model, not a curated record. Lineage: Eukaryota; Metazoa; Chordata; Mammalia; Chiroptera; Hipposideridae. The transcript has 8 exons.
UCCGAACCGGGGCCCUCUGGCAUCCCAAGCGAGUUCUUAACCAUCGCGCCACUCGGCCAGCCCAGAAGGUAGUUUCUGAGACCCAUGGUCGACCCCCAGUCUGAGGGGGGAGUUUACAGCUUUUAAGCUUGGGGAGCCCCCAGUCUGAUAGAAGCCUGCUCAUCACAACCUUUGACUAUCUAAAGCUAUACAUGUGAAUUCUCAUGACUGAGUGCCGACAACCUUCACACCUGAGGGAAAGGGCCGCGUGGCUUGUAAAGAAGGAGAGGCCACAGGGCAGGGGGCUGGGAGCUCUGGCAGGGCAGGCACAAAGCUCGGAAGGCCUUUGCAUUGUUUAGGUUGAAUGGGGACAGUUUUCUUUUAGAGUCCCAGCAUCGCCCGGGGCUGCCAUUUCUCGCCUCUCUGAAGCCCCGUUGGUCAGCAGUUGAAGAGGUGGUUGGCUGUGGUUGCUGAGUGGGGAGAAAGCCAGCUCUGUGGUGGCUCCCAGCUCCUGGAACUACUUCUCCAGGAAGCUUCCCGAGGUUCAUCCCACCCAUUGCUUCCAUUUUCCCGGCUGCUUUCCCUUUCCAAGGCCUUAGGAAAGAUGGUACUAGUGACAGCCUGUUAAUGACACAUUCUGUUAGUCUUGUCUCCUCUUUCAAGUUAUAACUGCUCUUGAGAGGGUAGUCCCUGUUAGUACUUUCUUCUGCACCCUAAGCUUUGCAAAGAGUUUAGAGCCCCCUGGGACUUCAUCAGGACGUGUGGACUCUUGAGGCAGCCCACUUUCAGGUUCUCGUUUGCGUGGAGGAGGACCACAGCUGAAUGAUUCCAGGACUCCUGAAUGGCUUGUAGAUGCACGCAGGGUCAGCUGUGCUCCCAGGGGCCACGCCUGCCUGGCCCGGGUUUCCCGUGUGGACAGACUGGUUUAUGGGCUGCUGUCACAUACGUUUCUUGUUUGUUCCUCUCGAUAGUCCUGUGUGCUCAGUGAUGUGUUAUCCUCAUUUCUCAAACGUGGAAGCAGCUCAGAGAGGCUAAUGGAAUGGGUCAAAUUCCCACAGCCAUUAAGUGGCCAAGGCAGGAUUCAGACCCAGUGCUUUUGAUUCUAAAUCUUGUGCUCUUCCCCUGCCCUGUGUAGCUCUUCUUUCUGGAUCAGUGUAGGCAGAAUGAAGGGGCAGUGCCCUGUCAGGCUCAGGGUCACACCCUCUGGGAGAUGGGGAACAGAGCUUGCUCUCAUGGAUGCGCUUAGCUCCACGGGACAAUUCUGUGCACUGGAAGGCCGCAGGAGCUGGGAGGACACACUGAUGUCAUUUAAUCCACCCUGACAUUUGUAGAGGUAGAUGAAGACUCCAAGGCCCAGAGAGGCUAAAACACUUCCCAAGGCCACACAGCAGGGCCAAGACUACACCUGGAUCUCUGGCCCCCCCCCAGCUCAGUACGCCUUCCACUGUAAAUUCAGGGUAUGACUUCCUGCUUUCUCCUGACAGGAGUAGCUCCAGGUGUUGGCAGUGAGACCAGAGAGUCGUUAAAAUGACUGUCAAAGUGUUUAUUGCUGAGCAGACAUGCACAAGGACGCUGGGCCUGGCAGCAGAUUGCUGAUUUCCCCAGGCCCUGUCACAGCUGCUACGGGGCCUGAGGGCCCAGGGCCUUCCUCCUGAGCUCAUAUGCAAACGUUCAGAGCCGGGAGGAGCAGUGAGCAGCGCUUGUGGGCUCUAGUCCUGCUCCCAGACUGGCAGUGUCUCCUGAGGCCUGUAGGAGUUUUGUGCCUGGUGGUGGUUGGUGGUCCAAGAAUGUCGGUCCCUUGACCAGCCCAUCCACAAAUCCAUGGGUGGAGAACCCGUGUGGUGGUGACUGGAUCCCAAGGCAAAUGGAAUCUGGAAAUCACCGUGAUAGGAAAAAGCACAAGCAUUUUAAACCGAUAGCCUUUUAGGCUCUUUGGCCUAAAGCCUUAACCAAGCUUUCCAGACGUGGGCCGCUUUAGAUGGUGCUACCAGUGUGCCCCACCUUCACUGGGGUCACUGAAAGGAAGGUAAGUGCUCUUUCCAUUUUGGUUUCCAAUCCAGUUUGGAUACUUGAAUACUACUUUCAGGAAUCCCCUGGGGCUGCCGUGGGCUAUGAGGAUGACUUCUGUCUAACCACAGAUUGUUAAUACGGUUUACUACUGAGAACCAGAAUCGAUCCAGUCUGUCAUGACCAGGAAACGUUCCUCACACGUGCUGGUCAGCCUUUAAUUUUUGCUCAUUCUUCAAACCGUACUCCUUAUUUCAAUAGCCGAAUUGACUGAAAUUAGGUGGAUGACUUGGAGCAAACCUUCCCAUUACACAGGUGGAAAUGAUCAUGAUUUGGUGGGUGGGUCUCUAGUGACUUCUUCAUUUGGGUCCAACCGUGUGCUCAGCGACUCCCCAGGUGAGGCCCUGGGGAACCAUUGUGCACACCUGGGACAGGUUCCCAGGGCUUUCCCCUCUGGGCAAGGAGCACCAUCCAGACAAGAUCAGAUACCUCCGACUCUCCGUGUUCCCGUCCAGCUCAGGGCUGGUAAGUAUUUGUUCAUUAGCCAAAGAGAUGGUGAGAAUUUAGUCUCAUAUCCCGGGGCACAUGUAACCUAAUUCAGUUCUGGGUGGAAAGUAGCUUAAAUAAGUCAGCCGUGGCACACUGCUCUCCCUGGCACCCCCACCUUUCAUCCAAGGUCCUGAUUUCCCCACUGUCUCUGGCUUCUUAUUUUUCAGAUUCUGACUUGGAUCGUGGCUUUCCAGUGACCCUGACCUCCUGUGGUCCAGUGGUCAGCUUUGUGGAUGGGCCUGAAGCAGCCCCCUGGGAGCCGUGAGGUUUGCUAGUCUCCGGCUUCCGGGCUCGGAUUUUCUUGGGACCAUGUGGUUGGACGCAACCCUUUUUAGUGUGUGUGAGAAGGUAUGGGGAAGGGGCAGAGAGGGAGUCGACAGUCCAGUGGGCAUUUGGGAAAGAGGUCACUUUGGAUGCUUGAGUGCAAUGCUAGCCAAGCACCCAAGGGAUGAGGCGAUGCAGAGAAAAGCAGCAGCUGAAAACACCUGCUCAGAAGAGGGGGGUUCAGAGCUAGGAUUGGAAAACAGUGAAAAGGGGUUCUCCAGAUUUGGACUUUCACCAUUGUGUGUAUUGCCAUCAUGUGCACAUGUCAUGCAUAUACAUAGAUAUAUACCUGUGUGUCAUGUGUAUACAUAUGGGUAUGUGUGUACGUGUUCUGUCGCCUCUUCUCAGAAGCCCUGCCGUCCACACACUUUCAUAUCUCUCCUCACACCAACUCUUUCCCACAGAACCUGUUCCCUCUUUCCCGGGACGGUGGACAGAAUUGCGGACGUCCCUCCCGGGCCCCAGGGUCGCUCUCUGACCCUCACUUUUCAGCCAGCCCUCGGUGUCCACAGCAGCUGCUGUGUGUGGAACUGACCCAUGUCAUUUCUCCACGACCAUGCCUGUGGAUUGGCCCUGAUUAUGUCAUCCUUCUGCUAAAACUCCUGUGUCCUCGCAUCAGGAUGAAGCCCAGAUUUCUUAGUCCAAAGGGCCUUUUGUGGUUCAGUUUCUGCCCACCUCUGACUAUUCCCGGUAGAGGCAUUUUGCUCCAGACACCCCCUGACCCCCGCUGAACCAGGCUGUAUUCAGUGCCCUUUGUAUUUUUUCCUGUGUGUUCUCUGCUUCAGUGAGUGUCCCCUUUCUUUCAUUUGUCUAAUUCCUAGUUACCUUUCAAUACUCUCCCCAACAUCACGCCUCCAAGAAGCCUUCCCCAGCACCCCACUGUGACUGAGAGAGCACCUCGUCUUGUAGCACAGUGGUCUUGUCUCCCACUAGACUGAGGUCUCCUUGGAGGGGACACCUGUUCGUUGUCUUGCAUCUCAAGCAUCCGGCUCGAUGCCUGCACAGCCCACAGUGCAUGCUGGGAGAAGGGUGGAUGGAUGGAUGAAUGCACGACUCCUCGCUCCCUUCUGGAACUGUCAGUGGCCUGGAUAUUAGGUCACUUAGCCUGGGUGGGGAGGACAUUAAGUCUCUGUCCUAAUUUUUUUUUCACCUCCCUAACGAGAUUGUUUGUUCCUGGAGGGCAGGGGUGGCUUUGUAGCUCUUAGUAAACCUGGAGCCUGUGGACACACCAGGCACUGAGUCAGUGUUUAUUGGAAGAAAAGAGAAAGAAUUAAGUAGAGAACGGAGGGAGGGAGAGAAAGAAAAGGUAAGAAGGACAGAUUUGUUUCAGAACUCGUCACGUGGCUGGUUUGAGUCCAGUCAGGAUAAGGACUUUCCCUCCCUCCCCAACUUGGGGUUUUCUGAUCCAAUUCGGGCAACUCCUAUGAAAUGAUAAGGCCUGUUUGGUCCGAAAGGGGGAGAUAGUUGAGAUUACAGUUUUUGAAGUUUUUAAGUGGAUGUCCGUAUAGGUUUCUGAAUUAUUGGUGCAAUUUCAUUGUCAAGAGGAUUUGUGAUGUUAAUACCUGAUUAAAUUAUUCAUAGUAUUUAAUUGCUCCCCGGGAUUAAUUAGGACGCUUUACUCCUCAUUAUCUCUGUGGGAUCCUGUGCGGAUUGUAGAAAAGGUACAUAAAGUGCUGUGUGCUCGCCACUGGUGAAUCACAAACCCUGCUUAUUUUACUAGCUAUUUGCUAUUUCUCUCCGCUUAGGAAAAGAUUGAAGUUUGUGCUAGGUGAGGUUUUUGAGUCCUGAGUUCUUUCCUUACUGGUCUUGGAAUUUGGAGCGAGUCACUUGAUUUUACCUUAAAACAGGGCAUAAAAUAAUAACAGCUUCACAAUUAUAUGAGGGAACCAAAUUUCAACCCUGGACCAUGGAGUGAACAUUUCUAAUUGGGGGAAAAGACUAAGCAAUAGAAUCUGGGAAUAUAAACCACUCCUUUGAGCAUUUGAGAAUGAGAAGUAAAAGAAAAGAGGUACCCCUCCUCACCCCCAUCCCUCCCUUUUAGAAGCUAAUGACUUGUUCAUGUUUAUAGACUCUGGAUAGAGGUAGAAAACAUUUAUUUUACUCAGGUAAAUGUAUAUAACUGGGUAAUAAUUUGCAAAGGAAAAGAAUAAAAGACUAUUCAAAUGUUACUUUUGACCUUCAUGAAGAUCUUAAUGGGUUGAAUAUUUUCAUUCAUUUGCUAAUUCGUGUGAGUUAUCAAAAUAGAAUUUUAUUUUAAUCAUCUCUUCAUGCCACGAAUAGAAUGCAAAGGAGAUAUUUUUAUAAAAUUUGAUAUAUUUUCUAGAAAUGCUUAUAGCUAUGCUCUAAUGUGUAUUAGAACAAGUACUUCAGAUUUAUGAUAUUUAUGGAUAGUAUUGCUUAGGAUGAGGUAAAAGGAAGUAAUACAACUGCUAAAAUAAAUUUGGCGAAGUGAAAAUAGUGAAUUGAUCUAGAGAAAAGUAUUAAAUAAUAAUAUAGGUGGUAUGUGGCUAUGGGAAAAACUGCAAAGGAGGUAUGUGAAUCACAGGUUUCUGAAACCCUGGAUUGCAACGUGGGCCCUGGUAUUUCCCUUUGGAGGGUUCCAAACAUCCCCCUGGGACAUGCAGACCGUGGUGUGGGAGUCCUGCCCCAUGUUCAGUUAAGGGCAGGGGGAAGAUCAGGAGUGUGAGAGCAGGCCCCUCUCUUCCUGCUCGAGGGACGCAAAGAUUUGGGGGCUGAGCAGGGCACCUGUCUUUGGAGGCAGGCCAGAGGCAUGCUGGGAGGUAAGCAGUGUGUCCUCUGAGCCCCUAGGCCUACCGCUCGUGCUUCUAGCCUCUGCUAUUCUGCCUCCAACUCAGUAUGAAAACGACUUCUGCAUUGGGGUGAGACAGGUGACCAAUCGGUGUCAGAAGACAUCACAUCACUCGCUAGCUGUGGGACCACAUGUCCUGUCACUUAACCUUCCUGAGCCCAUGUCUGUUCGUGUAAAUUGGGUUUGAUUUGCCUGCGUUUUACGGAUGUCGUGAGGAUUAUACAAUUUUGUUAUGUGGGAAAGCUAUUGAACAAUAGCAGGUGUUGGAGUAAAGGUUGGUUGGACUCAAGGAAAGAUCGUACAAUCCAUUGAGAGUGUAGACGUCUGAUGAUAGUUUUACGUGGAUCUCCAUCAGGGGCACACAGUGUGUAACCGCUGGAAUUACAGUCGGAAGGACAAAGCGAUAUGGUAAAAGGUCAGGUGUCACUGAGGGUGGGGGAGGGGAAGUGAGCAGAGGCCUCUCCCAGGGCCAGCUCCCAGCGGGCUUGCCUUCCCCGUGGUUGGUGUUGCAUUAGGGGUCUGGCUGGCCUGUCUGUUUGUCCUCAUCUGUGCUCUUCUUGGAGCCAUUCAUUCAGUACCUAAUACUAUUAUUACCAUUUGUUGUGCCAAACACUAUGUUACAUGCUCUCCAUGUGGGACUUCAUUUAAACCUCACUGUGAGACCAGUAUCACAUAUCACAGGUGACAAUAGUGGUGUUUGAGGACCAUGAAGAAUGUGACCAGCAUCACAUGCUCAGAAGUAAUGGAGCGCAGAUGACAGGCAGGUUUGUCUGACGCCAAAGCCCAUGCUUUUAAAACUCUGCUGUCCUGCGUGAUAGACUGCUGCAUCAGUGUUAGCAUCUGCAGGUAUUUUCUGAGAGCUGCCUAGUUGUCGCACAUUGCUUUCGACAUAGACAAAACACACAAUUCCCCGUGGAACAUUCUAGCACAGCGGGACAAGGACUGGGCUUCAUGUAGACGCUGGGCAGCGCUCCACGCUGUCUGGUCUCAGCGUCCUGGUCUACACGAGGCGGGGCUGGGAUGGCUGACCUCCCAAGUUCCUUCUAGCUCUGGAAGGACUGUGAGCUUCAUGAGGGGAGGACUGGUGAUGCCCAUCUCUCAGCCUUGCAUGGAAGUGCUGGCGGCCUGAUUGGCCCAUGUCUGUGGGAUGCUCUCCCAUCAAGGCCGCUGGCAUUGGGUUGAGGGAGCAUGUGGAGAGUUCAACCCAAGACGACUCUGGGCCCACAGGCCACGUUGGUUUGAUCCGUCCGCUUUGGGGAUCUUCCAGACCGAGAUCUCUGAGGUACCCACAAAAUUAAGGACCCCAAGAAGCUGGUUUAUUAAACUACCGUGAUAGAAUGGGGGAGACUUGUACCUACCUUCAGCAGGGGACGUUCAGGCUUUUGGACCCCAAAUCAACCUUGUUUUGGGUUGAAUGGAAAGGAGGUUCCCAGCCAAGCCAGCGAUGACCUAUUCCAAGAAGUCUCUUCCAACACGGUUAUGUGCUUCCUUUCUGAGCCACUAUAAUACUAAGAAAAAAAUCAUUUUCAUGUUGUGUUUCCAUCAUGGGUUAAUGUCUAUCUCCUUUGCUGGAUUAAGAACUCCUUGAGGGUAGAAUGGAAAUGUACCGAUCAUUCCAGUAGGUAGCCUGUCAUGCAGUGGUGCCCGCUAAGUGGGGGUCAAACAAAGCGGAGGGGCACAUCAUCACCAGGGGGACUGUACCCACUUGUGGCCCUAGGAGGAUGUUAUUUCACUGGAGGACGAGCCUGCCCUGCUGAGCAGGUCACUUCCGCCAGGGAGCCCUUAGUGGCGCCUACCGUCAUUGUCAUCACCACUUAAGACUUAGCUACAGACAGGACACAGGGAUGCCACACUUAACCCUGAGCCUUGCUUCAGCAUAGUGUCCGGCCUUGGAAACCUGGGGGAGUCACCAGGAAGAGGUGACAGCAGGGUGACAUUAAUUGCCACUCAUUGUGCUUAAUCCCCCAGUGAAUCAAAUGUGAGAUAAUGGAGAUGCUGCCGCCAAACCCUUGGCUGAUGGAGAUGGAAUUAGCCUGGUUCAAGUCCAAAUUAUUUGUUGUCUUUGCUGGCAGGAGUGUGAGAAAUGCCGCUGAGUUCCAGAGAUGCCACGGCUGUUGUGUUUACUCUGUUUGAACAGGCGAUUACAGGCGCAACAAUUUGUUUUUCUUCAAAAUAAAUUGUUUUCUGAUCCCUGAGCCUAAUUGCUCACCUCGCUAUCUGUGGCAGAACAGGAUGAGUGUCCCUCAGCAGAGCUCGGUGUCUGUGGGGGUGUCGGGCCAGGUGUGGCCAGUGGGGCAUUCUACCGCCACUGGAAUGUGGCCUCCCCUCCCACUUGCUGACCUCUCCACAUGGGAGAUGGGUGUGGUCUGGUGGGUGUGGUCAAGGCUUGUCCAGGGGGGGCUAAGGGAGCCUGCCUUGGUGGACCCACUUUACUCUCUACUUUGUUCUUCCUCUCAAAUGCAUAAAUGGAAAUCGCCAUUCACAGACAAACCCAAAAUGGAGUCCACACGGAAGGCGGAGAUCUAUUUAGAACAAACUGGUGGGCCGGGAAGGAGCCCGUAAAGCCCUGUAGAUCCUCCAACCUGGGAAGUACCAUCCUAUUUGCUGCUCUCAUUCUAGUCCGUUACCCUUUUCUCCAGGUGACAGCCAGCUUGGAUGGUCCAGUCCUCACUGAUGCUUGAGUCCCCUCUAUACACCCCCUUAAGAGUGGCAUGUAAAUUUCCAGAAGCAGGAUCCCCGGGUCACAGCAUGUCCAUCAUGUCCCACGUCCAGGGGAGGACGCAGGCUCUGGAACCUGACCGCUGAGGACUGACGCCCUCUGCCACCUGCCUGGAGAAUGACCUUGGAGGAUGUGUCAGGACUGUGGUUUCCUCCCUGAGAGAAACUAGAGGAGCAGCCUGGUUACACAGCAACUCCCUCAGACGACCUUUGCAGGGCUGAGGAGUGUCAUCACUAGUUUCUUGGUUGAGCCUCCUCCUGGGUUCUGGACCCCUGAGGUUAGAAGGGAGAAGAAGCAAAGCUGGAGAGCAGACUGGCCCGCACUGCCCAGGCACACAUCGUGUCUCUAAAGAAUGUACAUGGCGGAAAUGAGACCAGCUGUGGAGAACCAAGAUUGAGACCUCCUGCCAGACCGCCGAGAACAAUACUUAUCCACAGAGGUUGAUGAAAUACAGAGAGAACUGUCUUUAGAGACACAGACCAAGUCCUGGAAUACCGAGGAAGCCCGGAGGCAAGAACCCGUGCACACAGAGAGCUGGCCUCCACCCAGUUUGUGCCCAGAGUCCUCAGAGGCUCCUGGGAGGGCACCAGCCCCUGACAGACACUGCCCUGGAGCCACUCGGAGGCCUGGGGCCGAGUGACAUCUUACACCUCCAAGGAAGGCAUCCAAGGUGGGCACCUGUGCAUGGCAUAUUUUCAGGUGUAGGGAGGCAUUCUUCCUUCUCUUUUCUUUUUUGUUCAUUGAACAAAUGAAAGGACUUGGGGGGGGGGUCUCAGAAGUAGUGAUAUCAUUUUCUUCCAUUACAAAAUAAAAGCCUAUGAAUGAACAUCCAUAGACUAGUGAAAAAUAAACACAUUUCACUGGUUACCCAUAAGUCCAUUGUUCUAAAAUAACUAGAAUGCUCACAGAUUUCCUUCUAUUUUACUAUCGUAUUGUUAAAAAAAUGCUUUUGGUUAGACAUAGUUGCUUUAUGCUAUUAUGCAUUCCACUGGGGCCCUGCUUUUUUCCCUUUUAAUACAUUUUUAACAGUUGCGUAAUGUUCCGUCAAGGAAUAGGCCCAAAUUUAUUUAAUCAAAUCACUGUUAGAUAUUUAAAUUGUUUCUAGGUCACAUGGUGGUAAUCAGCUUUCGUUUUCCAUUUUGGAAUUACUUUUCUUUGCACAGAUGCCAAGACGUGGAACAAUUGGGCCAAAGGGUUGAAUCAUUUUAUGCUUGUGAGCCAUUUUUCCAUAUUCCUCGAAUUCUUUUCUCAGAGGGUUUUUGCCUGUUUAUGUUCUCACCACCCCUGGCACACUCUUUAGCCCUGGGAUCCUGGGAUUUGUUAUUUAAAAGUGAUCAUUAAAUAGUGACAGAGGAGGUCUCACGACUGCUCUAUUUCUUUUCUCCCUUCCCCCCUUUCUUCCUUUUGAUUUCUAGUGAGUUGGAAGUUUUCCGCCUGUUAGCAACAGCUGACCACAGGCCCCCUGAUGCCCUAAACUAGGCUUCCAGAAGUUUCCAGUGUCCAGGAGGCCCCCCUCUGACGGCCCUAGAAUAUGGGUGCCAGGCUUGCAGGAGACCCAGAGACCCCAAGGGCCUCUUCGUGUCUGAGAAAGUAACUCAUAGUUUUCACAUCUGGAAAUGGUGGGUGUUACUCCCUAAGGGCCUUGUCAGCUCUUGUGUCCUAAACGCCUGCUCCUGCGAUGACCUGGGCCUGGUGGGUGGGGUUCCUGGGUGUCUCCUCUUGGGCACGUUUUGGACUCUCUGUUCUCACUGUACCUUUUGUUGCCCUGACCAUCUUCCAGACUCAGAGGACGGAAAGCUGCCUGUGUGCCACGAUCCCCCAGGGAGCCACCCCAGAUUUGGCCCCUUGUUACGUACUGCGACAGCAGACAUUCCUAAACCUGUAUCCGCCGGCCUGUUGUGGGCUGUCAUGAUGUGUCAGCUUUACCUGGGUGACAAAGCUCUCAUUUACCUGGUCACAGGGCUGGGCUCAUGCCCUUCUAGCCAUCAGCUUUCUUUCCUGGAAAUUAGAGGAAUACCCUAUGUCUAACCCCUCAACGAGCUAGGUGUGCACCUGGCCAAGGGCCUUACCACGUGGAGGGGCCCCAGGAGGGGAGGAAACCGACCCUGAAGAAGAGUGGAGAAUGGCCAAGACCAUGGCAUUGGGCCCGCGCUCUGAGGCCCUGCAGGUCUGAUUGCUACAGUUCUCUCUUUAAUCCUGUGACCCACUCCCCAUCCUAAUAUCCUGUCGGCCAGGUGAACUGGUAAGUCCCCUUUUGUGAAUUAAGCUAGUUUGACGUACACUCCUUGAGCUGCUCAUAAAUCACCCCACUAACACACUUCCCGAGAACGCUUUUCCUCUUUAUUCCUACUUGAGGUCCUCCCAGAUUUAUCCUUUCUUAUUUUGUUUGUACGUACGUGUUUCUUUUGAAAUGUUUUAGAUUCAAAGAAGGCUGCCAAAACAGAGGUCCACUUACCCUUCACUGAAACUCUCCAUGGUGACGUGUGACGUAACUGUAGUUCAGUGUCAAAGCCGGCCAACUGACGUCAGUAUAAUCCACCACUCCUUUUUUAUUUUUUGGGAGAACACCUAGCCGUGCUUACAGGUACAAGAAGCUAACUGCUGCACUCAGGACAUUUACAGCCAGAUGAGGAGCAGCACAGGUAUGACGUCUCACACCUGGGCAGGUACAGUGUGCUCCCCUCACCGUGCACUCGCUACGUCCCAGUAAACCAGGCACUUGGCGUUUAACUCCUCAAGCCUCAUGACAGCACUCGUAACACCAUCGUUCUUACAUGAUCGUUCCUUUUACAGAGAGAAGGAAACAGCGGCUCAGAGAAGUUAAGCAGCUUGCUGAAGGUCACAAAGUUGGUAGGGAGCGGAGCUGGAGUUUGAACCCACGAAGCCUGUUUUCAGGGUGCUCAGCCCAGCACUGUGCCAUUGAUGGGAUUACGUGCAAGGGGAGGCUUCGUUUCCUGGGCCUUUCUGGACCUUCUCUAACGCCCCACUCCUCUUUCUUUCUCGUGCCCGCUUGGGUCCCCGGGCUUAGCCGCUUUAACAGCUCUAUUUAUGGCCCUCCCAGGCUGUGCUCUAACGGGGAGGCGUUCCCUAGGUGCAGCCCCCAGAAGACACCACUUCCCUCUAUGCAGCAGGCAGUGCCAGGACAACACCAUUUUCAAAGAUUGUUGGUUUUGGAGGGCCAGGUCCUAGCCUCACUCCCCAGGGAUCGUUUGUGGGUGGUUUAGUGCUGGAAACCAACAAACAGAUAAACCAAAAACUGCCCAAAACAAAACAAAACAAAACAAAACAAAAAAUCCAAAAACCAAAUGCCGGAGGAAGAAAGCCUUGCGCAGCAGAGGGACACAUUUACUUGUCAGCUCAUGGCUUUAGCUCUCAGCCUCGGGUGGUGAACGUGGUGGAGGUGGGAGCUGGUUGUCAC